CCUGAGCAGAAGAAAACGGCACCUCACAAAGCCCUAGGUGCCGAAAUAUUAACCUAAACCCUCUGCCGAAUUUUCCCUCUUCAAUUCCCUAAAUUCGGCCAACUCCCAGUCUCUCACCCAAUCCCUUAAAUCUCUCCCCUUAUCACUCCUUAAUUCAAGCAUUUGGACUGAUUCAAACUUUCCUUUAGCAGACUCCACUUGGACUCCAACACUUACCCCUCUUGCACUUAAAAAAUAAAUGCAUCUAUUUGUCAACACAGGGAAUCGAUCCCAUGCCUUCCCCAAUGCUCCACACGCCACCUUUUUAGGAGCCUAGUGGCGUCACCCUUGCCACUUUACUAAGGCUCUUUUUGUGAUGCAAUUUACCCAUCACUCCACUUAAGGGCCACUUAGCCAGAACCCCUAACUCCUAAGUCCAAAAAUUCCAAAAAAUUCAACCUGGUUUUGGCCAACACAUGUGCCUUCUAUAAGCCCAUUUACCUACUCAAAAUAUUAAUUUCACAUCCAAAUACAAAAUUUUAAAGUCUUUACAAAAUAUUGAAAACCGCGAAUAAAUCCGAAAAUCAGGAUGUUACAACUCUACCCUCCUUAAAGAAAUUUCGACCUCAAAAUUUUACCUUAUUAGAACAGUUGAGGGUAGUGUUGACGCAUAGCCUCCUCAGUCUCCCAUGUAGCUUCUUCUUUGCCAUGGUUCCUCCAAAGUACUUUCACUAGUGGAACUAAUUUCCUUCUCAACACCUUGACGUCACGAUCAAGUAUUUGCACAGGUUCCUCCUCGAAAGUUAAAUCUGACUGUACCUCGAUUUUCGCAACUGGUAUUAUGUGAGUUGGGUCAGAUCGAUACCGCCUCAGCAUGGAUACAUGAAAAAUGUCGUGGAUAUGAUGCAGUUCUGGUGGUAACUCUAGCUGAUAAGCCACUGGUCCAACCCGCUUAACAAUUCGGUAAGACCCAAUAAACCGUGGGCUCAACUUACCCUUCUUACCAAAUCUUAAAAUUUUCUUCCAAGGGAAACCUUCAAGAAAACCAUAUCCCCAACAGCGAACCCAAUCUCCUUGCGCUUUAGAUCCGCAUACGACUUCUGUCUAUCGGAUGCCUCCCUUAACCGAUCCCUUAUCAGCCUAACCUUGCUUUCAGUGUCUGCCACCAAUUCUGGUCAAGCGCUCGUCGUUCACCCAACUCUGUCCAACACGUCGGCGUACGACAUCUUCGCCCAUAAAGCGCUUCAUAUGGUGCCAUCUGAAUACUUGCUUGAUAGCUGUUAUUGUAAGCAAACUCCGCCAAUGGCAAGUAGUCCUCCCAACUUCCACGAAAAUCAAUGAUACAACCUCUUAACAUAUCUUCCAGAACCUGAAUAACCCUUUCUGAUUGUCCAUCUGUCUGUGGGUGAAAAGCAGUGCUAAAACCCAAUCGUGUACCCAACGCUUCCUGCAACUUUCGCCAAAACCGAGAUGUAAACCUAGGGUCUUGAUCAGAAAUUAUCGACACUGGCACCCCAUGCAGUCGCACUACCUCUGCCAUAUAUAACUUGGCCAACUUUUGCAGUGAGUAGUCGGUACGAACAGGUAUGAAUUGAGCAGAUUUUGUUAACCUAUCCACAACCACCCACACCGAAUCUUUCUUGGCGGGUGUCAAAGGUAACCCACUCACAAAGUCCAUUGUUACUCUUUCCCACUUCCAUAGUGGAAUUUUCACAGGUUGCAGUAAUCCCGAAGGCAAUUGGUGCUCAGCCUUAACCUACUGGCACAUCAGACAUUUCCCAACAAAUUCAGUCACCUCUCGUUUUAAUCCGGGCCACCAGUACACUUCUCGCAAGUCUUGAUAUAACUUAUUCCCUCUAGGAUGCAUGGCACAGAGUCCACCAUGAGCCUCUUUUAGAAUUAUCUGCCUCAAUUCAGGGUCCUUUGGAAUACAAACCCUUCCACGAAAGCACAGAACUCCUUCAGUGUUCAACCCAAAAUCCUCGUUCUCACCACUCUUAACUUGCUAGAACCGGAGAGCUAAUGAAUCGUCCUUCAACUGUUUUUCCUUAAUCUGCUCAGUCCAAGUAGGCCUUACCUGCAGUUCUGCCAACAAACUUCCAUCGUCGUACAGACUUAAUCGUGCGAACAAGGCUCUCAAAUCAGUCACAACCCUUCGACUCAACGCAUCCGCCACCACAUUAGCCUUUCCUGGGUGGUACUCUAUCGAACAGUCGUAAUCUUUAAGCAACUCCACCCAUCUUCGUGCCUAAGGUUCAACUCCUUCUGAGUCAACAAAUACCUUAGGCUCUUAUGAUCUGUAUAUAUAAUGUACUUCUCCCCAUAUAAGUAAUGUCUCCAAAUUUUUAACGCAAAAAUCACCGCUGCUAGCUCCAAAUCAUGCGUAGGGUAAUUCACCUCAUGAGCCUUAAGAUGUCGCGAUGCAUAAGCGACCACCUUGCCCUCUUGCAUCAGUAUGCAACCUAACCCCACAUGCGACGCAUUGCUGUAUACAGUAAAGUCCUUCCCAGACACCGGUUGAAUCAACACUGGCGCUUCGGUCAAUACCUUUUUCAACCGAUCAAAAGCUUUUUGCUGUUUCUCGGUCCAGACAAAUGGUACUCCUUUCCUUAUGAGUUUUGUCAAGGGCGCCGCCAUUACCGAGAAACCCUCCACAAACCUUCUAUAGUAACCUGCUAACCCUAGAAAACUCCGAAUUUUCGAUACUGACCUAGGUGGCUUCCAUUCCAGAAUUGCUUCAAUUUUACGAGGAUCCACCUUAAUCCCCUCGGCGGAGACCACAUGCCCAAGGAAGGUUACCUCCCUCAACCAGAAUUCACACUUGCUGAAUUUCGCAUAAAGCUCAUUUUCCCUUAACACUUGCAGCACAAUACGGAGAUGCUCAUCAUGCUUCACCUCCGUUUCAGAGUAUACCAGGAUAUCGUCGAUAAAGACAACUACGAACCGAUCCAAGUAAGGUUGGAAUACUCAAUUCAUCAGAUCCAUAAAAGCUGCAGGUGCGUUCGUCAGCCCAAACGGCAUGACCACAAACUCAUAAUGUCUAUAUCGAGUUCGAAAUGCUGUCUUAUGAAUAUCCCCUUCUUUUACCCUUAGCUGAUGGUAUCCAGAACGAAGACCGAUUUAGGAGAAUACUGAAGCUCCCCUCAGCUGAUCAAACAGAUCGUCAAUCCUUGGUAGUGGAUACUUAUUCUUAAUCGUCAGUUUGUUCAACUAACGAUAAUCGAUGCACAUACGCAUCGUUCCGUCCUUUUUCUUCACAAACAGGACUGGUGCUCCCCAAGGAGACACACUAGGCCUAAUGAAGCCUCUAUCUAACAACUCUUGAAUUUGAGCCUUCAGUUCCACUAACUCCUUCGGUGCCAUCCUAUAGGGUGCAAUAGAUACUGGAGCUGUUCCAGGCAACAAAUCGAUUCCAAACUCAACUUCUCGAUUCAGAGGUAAUCCAGGAAGCUCUUCCGAAAAAACAUCCCGGAAUUCCCUAACAGUUCUGAUGGUCUCCACAGUCAGAUCCUCAGUUUCAGCUUGGCUUACCAAAGCCAGAUACGCCUCGCACCCCUUGCGCAUCAGUUUCUCCGCCCUCAACGCCGAUACUACAUUGGAUAAGUAAUCCCUCCGUUCUCCAAUAAUCAUUACCUCUUCAUCAUUGACAGUCCUUAACACCAUCCUCUUAGCUGCACAAUCCAAAGUUGCCUUAUGCUUGGUCAACCAAUCCAUCCCUAGUAUCAAAUCGAAUUCUUCAAGCGGUAACUCCAUCAAAUCCCCACAGAAAACCCCAUCUUGAAUCUCCAAAGGCACCUCCUUGAAGAGUUUCUCUACCUUAACCGAAUGACCUAAAGGACUUAUCACAGACACCCCACACACAGUCUUCUCGAAGUGCACACCCAGUGCCCCAGAAAUGUUAUAUGCCAUAUAUGAAUGGGUUGGUCCCACAUCAAUCAGAGCAGUAUAAGGUACACCAUAUAUAAAAAACGUACCAGUUAUGACAUCAGGUGCGUCACCCUCCUCGCGGCGACGAGCAGCAUACACCAAAGCUGGCUGACGAGCAUCCGCAUUACCAAUACCCCUGCCGGGUGCCCCACGUCCACGGCCAUUACCACCGCGACCUUGUCCACGACCUCUUGGCAGCGGCGGUCCAUCCCUCACAGGUUGAGCCGGUCGCACAGCCCCUUGUUCGGCCACCUGAGCCUGAGUGGCCCUCCUAGGACAAUCCUUAAUCCUAUGCUCCUUAGACCCACAACGAAGACAAGCCCCAGACCGCUUCCAGUACUCUCCUUGAUGCAUUCUGCCGCAAUCCCCACAAGCUUGCGGUCUACCCAUGUUCACCGGAACUGUUCGAACUGGUUCCUCCAUCCUAGCUCUCUUAACAUUUCGAUUUGCAGCACCCGCUGGUCCAGCAUCCCUCCUGAACCGAUUCCGAUCCCUAUCACGAUUCUUUCGUUCGGUUUGUUUCACCUCCUCGGCUAUCUUAGCCUUCUCUACUAGUGCAGCGAAAUCUCGCUCUCUCUGCGGAGCUAUGAGCACCCUUAACUCAUCUCUGAAGCCAUCCUCAAAAUGAACGCUGCGCUCGUAUUCGGUGGAAAUGAUGCCAUUAGCAUACCGACUCAAUCGUAGAAACUCCGCCUCAUAUUCAGCAAUGGUCUUAUUUCCCUGAGUCAGAUUCAGGAACUCCUUUUUGCGUGCAUCCACAUAGCUAGCUCCAACAUAUUUUGCCUUAAAGGUCUGUUUGAACAGCUCACAUGUUACCCUCUCAGCUGGGGUACCCUCUCUCACAGUAAUCCAUCACUUAUAUGAUUCAUCCCGCAGUAACGAAACCGCCCCUUUCAACUUCUAUUCUACUGAGCAGUCCAGGUUAUCCAUGAUCCGCUCUGUGGCUUCCAACCAGUACUCAGCCACAUUUGGGGCCACUCCAGAUAUGCCCCUAAAAAUCUCAGCUCCGUUGGCCCGAAGGCGUUUAGAAAUGGACCCCCUAUUCAUGGGCCCGAUGUUAGCUCCGGCCACCCUUUCCAACACCCUCAACAUGGCCUGAGACAAAGCGUCAUCCCCUGCGGCCCGGUCAUACGGCCCAUUUUCAUUAACUGGUGGUGAACAUAACUCGCCAGCUGGCAUGUGUUCAGAUGACGCAGAUCCAGCUUGAGUGCUACCUCGGCCUCGACCACGGCCUCUUCCUCGAGUAGCCCUUGUACUCAUAACGAUUUAUCUGAUUACGAAUUUUAUGACAUCAGUUUACUGGAUUCACUGUUUAUUACAGAAGGUCUUAUGAAUAGAUAGAGUUUCAGAGUUAUUUUCGCGCAAUCACAAUUUAGCUACGGUCCCAGUUUUGUAGCCCUAAUACUACCUUAUCAAUAGCACUAUCUCUAAGGCUCAGUACUAUCUAUAGUAUUAUUUCUAGUCUAGUUCCAUAUAAAUAUUUAAAGCAGAAAAAGAACACUUACAGACUUGGUGCCGGGGAUUCAGUGUGCCACCUCCUUUGUAAAAAUUAAAAACCCUAUUUUUGUUUACCGAAAAUAAAAGAAUUUGAUUUGAAAACACUUUUAUUUUAAAAAUAUUGAUUUAACCCUGUUUAAAAAUAGAAAAACUUGAACCUUCUUUGAAAAACUUACCAUUUCCAAAAAUACCCUUCUUAGGCCUAAGUUUUUGAAAAGAUUUUCGGACCCGAUCCACAGCCGAGUUGUUGCAACCAGGCUCUGAUACCACUAAAUGUAACACCCUAAACCCGGCCUAGACGUUAUGACCGAAUCUGAUGCGCCACAUCGAUGCGUUCAAAACAUUCCGUAUUACUUAGUUUGGAAAAACUUAGUUGGUGUUGUAAAAGACACUUUUAAAAGUAGGUUAAAGUGAACGGAAGCUGUGCACCAGGUAGGAAACCAGGAAGAAGAGGAGGUGAGUCCGUCGGACUGCUUAAGUACCAAGCUCCCUUCGGAUCCAAUCCUAGACAUGCACACCGCCAUUGCCACACUCUAACAUCUCGUAUAAUUUUGAGAAAACUGUUCGGUUAUGUCCAUCUUAAGAAAGUGAUUAAGGUUGAAAACGUUUGCUUAGCGGAAGUCUUCCUCGUAUUCGUGUUAUUUUGAAAUCACUUAAUGUUUUUGAAAACGCGUCCUAGAGCUAAUUUAUUUCGUUAGUUAUCAUAGAUCAGUUUUAUCAUAAUAGAAUUAAAUAAUAAAUAAACAACCCAAACCAUAAAAAUAAUUAGCGGCCAUAUUACAAAAAAACCCAAAACCAUAAACGAAAAUAUGAAAAAUCUAGUUCACUAGAAGAAAACGAAUUUGCAGAAAACGUGUGGCCACUCCGAAUCCCGCCCAGCUCCAAGUCCACCAACUAGGGCUCACCUGCAAGGAUGGAAGGGAAAAGGGGGUGAGUUUGGGAAAACUCAGUGUAUACAGAAACCCAUCCAAAGCCCAAAUCAGCUCGAGCCCAUUGGGCCUAAGCCCUAUUCAGGUAACAGUACACAGUGGACCGAAGCCCUUUUCAGAACACAAUAGCAAGGCCUUAGCCCUUUUUAACAUAACAGUGUGGCCCAUAGGCCCAGUUCAGUAACAUAGGUAACAAUAGUAGUAAUGCAUGCAAACCCAUCUGGGGAGACUACUCAACCCACCAACCGCUACACUGCCCCGUACCAGCCCUACACUCCAUGUGGGGAAUAUCUCAACCCACCCAGCCCUACACUCUACGGUUGCAGCAACGCCGCUCAAAUAUCAGUAAGUUGAGGCAAAGCCUCCAGUACGUGGAUGAACCACUUUCAAUACUUCCUCCAUCAAUACCCCAAUCCCAUGCAACAGAUAUUAAUAAAGCAUAUCAUGUACAAUACAAUAUUAAUCAAUCAUGCAGUUUAGCUAAUUUAAACCCUAGGGGUACAUCGGUAAUUUUGCUCUUUAAAGGUCAUUUUUGUAACUUAGAAACUACACAAAUUACUUCAGAGAUUUUCAACAGUUUUAUGCAAUUUGGUUCCACCAUCUAACUAACAGGCUAAUUUGCCCAUAUCUUACCCAUAUUGGUCCGUAAGCCCAUGGGCCCAGUUUUGGCCCAUCUGGCCCCUUUUUCCGAAGUACGCUAAAAUGUCACACGAACUUACAUACCACUUUGCGGUGUUAGAUCUAACAAUUACUCUAUGUCUUGAGAGCAUUCGCAUACUCACAAGCCUAUGAAAUGCCGGAAUUUCGGCAUUUCGGCUUUUGCCGAAUUGAACUAAGGAAGGGUGUUAGGUACACACCUGGUUCGCGACGACUGCUACCGAGAUCCCUUUCGAUGUCCUACAAUUGAUUAGUACAGUUCUUAUUUACAAACCGUAAUCACUAAACCCAAAACUUGCUCAACCAAAGUCGAGCCAUGUUCCUAAAAAGCCUUUGAACCCUUACCUUUUUGCCAAAAUCGAUAGCUAGCUCCGAAUCCGAUUGUUCCAAUGAUUCACGCUUUUGAUCCAAUGCUUAAGAAGACUCUAAACACCGAAAGAAAACAUCAAUUACAAACCCUUAAAGCCUUAUGCUCAAAUCGACAGCCUCCCUAAUUUUUAGGGACUUCAGCUUUUCUUAACAUCGUAAAAUAAGAAUAGAUCUGAGAUGAUAAGUACUUACCCCUUACUCCUACUUGAUUUCCACGCAAUCCGGUGCAGAUUUAUCCUUAGAACAAUGGUAAAACCUGAAUCCAAGGGUUGAAGAAGUUUCGGCUAUAAGCCCCUAAACUAAUGGUACUUUCGGCUUUUGGGUGGUGAAGGAGAUGACGAUAUGAGGCUAUGACCUUGAAGUAGAAUUGCCGUCAGGUAUCUAGGAUUAUGAAAAGAUAAUCGUAGAUUUAAUAAAAACAAAAGAACAUAGAAGGACCUGGCUUUGAAAAAAUCGGCACAAGCAGUGAUCACAGGAUUUCGGCUUUUGCGACUUCGGCAAAGGUGCUGAUGAAUAGCAGGUUUGAUGGACGGCUUUGGAGAAAGAAGUAGAGAAAGAAGAACAGGAUAGGUGAAAGUUUCGGCUAGAGAGGAAAAGAGAGAAAAAGAAAACCCUUGUGGUGCCUGAGCAGAAGAAAACGGCACCUCACAAAGCCCUAGGUGCCGAAAUAUUAACCUAAACCCUCUGCCGAAUUUUCCCUCUUCAAUUCCCUAAAUUCGGCCAACUCCCAGUCUCUCACCCAAUCCCUUAAAUCUCUCCCCUUAUCACUCUUUAAUUCAAGCAUCUGGACUGAUUCAAACUUUCCUUUAGCAGACUCCAGUUGGACUCCAACACUUACCCCUCCUG
RNAcentral lists this long non-coding RNA (8204 nucleotides) under Gossypium barbadense (sea-island cotton). RNAcentral describes it as "long non-coding RNA (GBAR_LNC000700)". The record is from RNAcentral. Lineage: Eukaryota; Viridiplantae; Streptophyta; Magnoliopsida; Malvales; Malvaceae.